CCUACGGGUGGCAGCAGUAGGGAAUAUUGCUCAAUGGGGGAAACCCUGAAGCAGCAACGCCGCGUGGAGGAUGAAGGUUUUCGGAUUGUAAACUCCUUUUGUUAGAGAAGAUAAUGACGGUAUCUAACGAAUAAGCACCGGCUAACUCCGUGCCAGCAGCCGCGGUAAUACGGAGGGUGCAAGCGUUACUCGGAAUCACUGGGCGGAAAGAGCGCGUAGGCGGGAUAGCCAUUCAGAUGUGAAAUCCUGUGGCGUAAACAUAGAAUUGCAUUUGAAACUGUUAUUCUAGAGUAUGGGAGAGGUAGGUGGAAUGCUUGGUGUAGGGGUAAAAUCCGUAGAGAUCAAGAGGAAUACUCAUUGCGAAGGCGACCUGCUAGAACAUAACUGAUGCUGAUGCGCGAAAGCGUGGGGAGCAAACAGGAUUAGAUACCCCAGUAGUC
Molecule: ribosomal RNA, 440 nt
Filed under: uncultured bacterium
Lineage: Bacteria
Description: partial 16S ribosomal RNA
Rfam family: Bacterial small subunit ribosomal RNA
Source: RNAcentral